AAGUCGUAACAAGGUUUCCGUAGGUGAACCUGCGGAAGGAUCAUUACCGAGUUAGGGUCUCCUCCGUGAGGCCCGACCUCCCAACCCCGUGUCUAAUAAACCUGUUUGUGUUGCUUCGGCGGAACGGCAGUCGUCUCCUCCGGGAGGCAACCGUCGCCGGGGGAUUCCACGGUCUCCACCGACCGCCCCUGGAGAGCGUCCGCCGAUGGCCCCAACCAAAACAAAUUACCAAACCCAAACCAUGGAACUAUAAUUUUCUGAAUCAGAUUUUGAUAUACCAAUCAAAAACAAAACUUUCAACAACGGAUCUCUUGGUUCUG
Molecule: unclassified non-coding RNA, 320 nt
Filed under: air metagenome
Description: partial contains small subunit ribosomal RNA, internal transcribed spacer 1, and 5.8S ribosomal RNA
Rfam family: Eukaryotic small subunit ribosomal RNA (bases 1-46)
Source: RNAcentral